AGUGAACGCUGGCGGUAGGCCUAACACAUGCAAGUCGAACGGCAGCACAGUAAGAGCUUGCUCUUACGGGUGGCGAGUGGCGGACGGGUGAGGAAUACAUCGGAAUCUACUUUUUCGUGGGGGAUAACGUAGGGAAACUUACGCUAAUACCGCAUACGACCUACGUGUGAAAGCAGGGGAUCUUCGGACCUUGCGCGAUUGAAUGAGCCGAUGUCGGAUUAGCUAGUUGGGGGGGUAAAGGCCCACCAAGGCGACGAUCCGUAGCUGGUCUGAGAGGAUGAUCAGCCACACUGGAACUGAGACACGGUCCAGACUCCUACGGGAGGCAGCAGUGGGGAAUAUUGGACAAUGGGCGCAAGCCUGAUCCAGCCAUACCGCGUGGGUGAAGAAGGCCUUCGGGUUGUAAAGCCCUUUUGUUAGGAAAGAAAAGCAGCAGGUUAAUACCCCGCUGUUCUGACGGUACCAAAAGAAUAAGCACCGGCUAACUUCGUG
This 492-nucleotide ribosomal RNA is filed under the name uncultured bacterium. Its description in RNAcentral is "partial 16S ribosomal RNA". It matches the Rfam family "Bacterial small subunit ribosomal RNA", at positions 29 to 507 of the family's 1533-position model. The record is from RNAcentral.